GGUCACUAGGAAGCUAGUUUUCAGAUAUUUCAUUUAGGCCUAUCUUAUGCUUUUAGAAUUCAUCUGCCUGGGUCACUGUGGAUGUGGGAGCAGAACAGACUUAUCUUCACAGAAACAAGAGCCUUGUGAGUGGCCACUGUGACAGCAGAUACAUCUGCCUGUUUCAGGAGCAGCACCAAGAAUAUAUACUUAGUCUCCUCUGGUCAAGUAUUUGAGUUAAGAAGACACCUGUGGGAGCUUGCCAAGUGGCAGACCAGUGAGAACGACUUGAGCCACCUCAAACGCCAUCAAGCACAUCACAGGGAACAGGAGUUCUUUCCUGUGUUUGCUGCAUAAAUGAAGAAGUAACUAAUCAGUAUGCACCAGAAGCCAUAUUGAAGAAAUCCAUGGCCCUGCUUUCACCAGGGUGAGCCUACACAUGUGCUGGCAGCCUCCAUGCUGCCACACACCUGACCCAGCUGUGGACAGACUGGUCCACUUACAUGACCUAUGUGAGUAUGACCCAGAAGGAGGCUGAGUUCAGCUUUACCAGGUCUUCAACUUCAAGCACCAUGAAACUGCAAAUUCUGUUUUUCAGCUCUUAAUUCACUGCCAUUUUGUAUAUAUAUUUUGUGAAAUUGGUGUAUGCUAACAACAACUUUCAAGAUAAACAAAUCAUUGUUUCUUUUGGUGACCAUCCAGACUCCAAUCAUCCCACUAUGUCCACCAUUGUUACAGCUUGGCUGACCUCACCGUGACCUUAAAGAAUCAAAUAUUCCUUGAGAGGCUUCUUGCUCCUGUGCCAUGACCAAGAAGCAUGGCUUUUAUCCCCAGAAAGUUUCCACGAUGUUCCAACCACUGCUGAAGGGUUCCACUCAUUUAAGUCAGUUCAUGAGCAGCAUAUAGACAGGACAACUUCUUAUAUAGUUUCUUUCUUUGCUAUUCUCUGUCAUUCCUAAAAACCAGUUUCUACUGUUUUAAAUGACAAUGAGUAAUAUAAGAUUAUAUACUAACAUUAAAAUUUUUAUAUAAUCCAUAGA
Molecule: long non-coding RNA, 1019 nt
Organism: Fukomys damarensis (Damara mole-rat)
Lineage: Eukaryota; Metazoa; Chordata; Mammalia; Rodentia; Bathyergidae
Source: Ensembl